Molecule: ribosomal RNA, 379 nt
Filed under: uncultured Chloroflexota bacterium
Lineage: Bacteria; Bacillati; Chloroflexota
Description: bacterial SSU rRNA
Rfam family: Bacterial small subunit ribosomal RNA
Source: RNAcentral
UAAUACGUAGGAGGCAAGCGUUAUCCGGAAUUACUGGGCGUAAAGCGCUCGUAGGCGGCCCGACAGGUGUUCGGUGAAAUCCCCCGGCUUACCCGGGGAAGGUCCGAGCAAACCGUAGGGCUGGAGGCAGGCAGAGGACCGUGGAACGUCCGGGGGAGUGGUGGAAUGCGUAGAUCCCGGACGGAACACCAGAGGCGAAGGCGGCGGUCUGGGUCUGACCUGACGCUGAGGGGCGAAAGCGUGGGGAGCAAACAGGAUUAGAUACCCUGGUAGUCCACGCCGUAAACGAUGGACGCUAGGUGUAUGGAGGGCUCAACCCCUCUGUGUGCCGGAGCUAACGCGGUAAGCGUCCCGCCUGGGGACUACGGUCGCAAGACUA